GAGUUUGAUCUUGGCUCAGGAUGAACGCUAGCGGCAGGCUUAACACAUGCAAGUCGAGGGGUAGAGUUAGCUUGCUAACUUGAGACCGGCGCACGGGUGCGUAACGCGUAUGCAAUCUACCUUGUACAGGGGGAUAGCCCAGAGAAAUUUGGAUUAAUACCCCAUAGUGUUAUGAUGUGGCAUCACAUUAUAACUAAAGUUCCAACGGUACAAGAUGAGCAUGCGUCCCAUUAGCUAGUUGGUGUGGUAACGGCAUACCAAGGCAACGAUGGGUAGGGGUCCUGAGAGGGAGAUCCCCCACACUGGUACUGAGACACGGACCAGACUCCUACGGGAGGCAGCAGUGAGGAAUAUUGGUCAAUGGGCGCAAGCCUGAACCAGCCAUGCCGCGUGCAGGAUGACGGUCCUAUGGAUUGUAAACUGCUUUUGUACAGGAAGAAACACUCCCUCGUGAGGGAGCUUGACGGUACCGUAAGAAUAAGGAUCGGCUAACUCCGUGCCAGCCGCC
RNAcentral lists this ribosomal RNA (508 nucleotides) under uncultured Flavobacterium sp. RNAcentral's name for it is "bacterial SSU rRNA". It matches the Rfam family "Bacterial small subunit ribosomal RNA", at positions 9 to 516 of the family's 1533-position model. The record is from RNAcentral. Lineage: Bacteria; Pseudomonadati; Bacteroidota; Flavobacteriia; Flavobacteriales; Flavobacteriaceae.